UACGAGGGGUCCAAGCGUUGUUCGGAAUCAUUGGGCGUAAAGCGGGUGUAGGCGGCUCUAUAAGUCAGAAGUGAAAUCCCCGGGCUCAACCUGGGAAUUGCGAUGGAGACUGCAAGGCUAGAAUCUGGCAGAGGGGGGUAGAAUUCCACGUGUAGCAGUGAAAUGCGUAGAGAUGUGGAGGAACACCGAUGGCGAAGGCAGCCCCCUGGGUCAAAACUGACGCUCAUGCACGAAAGCGUGGGGAGCAAACAGG
Molecule: ribosomal RNA, 253 nt
Filed under: uncultured bacterium
Lineage: Bacteria
Description: partial 16S ribosomal RNA
Rfam family: Bacterial small subunit ribosomal RNA
Source: RNAcentral